UGUGAUGUGCCUCAGUAUGGCAUUGUCUCUGCUGUGGCUGGUGACCAGCUUUAGCAUAGCCCCCCUGUGACUGAGUGACUUUCAUGAUUACCCCCAAACCCGUGGUGACUUUUCCCCCUUCAUCGGCCCACUCGCUACAAAUGGAAGAGAGACGGAAGGAGAGGAGAAAAGGAUUAGAGGGGAGAAGGAGAAGAGAGAAUGAGGAGUAGUAUUUAGUAGGGAUGCACAGAAAUUAAAAUUCUUGGCCGAAACGUAACGAAUAUACUGAAACAGUUGGCCGAAGGCCGACACCGAAUGCCGAAUGUGGCUUUUAAUGUUUUUCAUUAAUUUUGCUUUAAUUUUUCACCAUUGCAUAAAUCAAACAAUUAAAUGUCCUUUAUAAACUUUUUUGUCUUGCUUUUCUAUAAAAAAAAAAAAUUACAAAUUUGAUACAAAAUAUUUAUUUAAUACUGAACGUUUCCUAACAUUCCA
Long non-coding RNA from Gadus macrocephalus (Pacific cod), 471 nucleotides. RefSeq lists it as uncharacterized. The transcript is spliced from 2 exons. The record is from RefSeq and is a predicted model, not a curated record. NCBI's taxonomy places the organism in Eukaryota, Metazoa, Chordata, Actinopteri, Gadiformes, Gadidae.